CUUCUGUAUUGGGAGAACUUAUUUUUCCUAUUAUAUUCUAACCAAUUAUGUUUCACUGAUGUAUCUUUAGACAAUAUAAGCAACUCUUCUUCCCCAGCCUCUAUACAUUUUUAAAAUGUCAUUCUAAGUUCAUUUCAUAUUUUAGUGCUCCCUUCUAUACACCUAAAAUUCAUUUUUAUUCCACCCCCAUUUCACUAAUGAAAAUCUAAGUUAUCUAUGCCCAAGUUUGACUCCAUUGCAAUAAGUUAUGUACUUGAAUUUUAAUUUUAUUUAAAAUAUAUAUUUUCUAGCUUAAUGAUUAAUAAAAUGAAGAGGCCAGACCCAACUAAUGCCAAUGACAGCCAAUGACAAGUGGCCAUGCUUGAUGAAAAUGUAACCAUCACUCAUUUUAAGUAAAGAAACUGAGCCUCAGGGAGAUCAAGAAGUUUUAAUCAUUUGAGAGAUGAUUUUGAUUUUACAAACUGCUUGUGUUGAUUCUAAUGAAAUGGGUGGAGAAGACAGACUCCAGGAAAGAAUGCAUCUGGAUUUACCUCCUGAGGAUAAACUGUUAAACAACUGAAAGAGUUUAAGAUGACAUGGUUGUUUUAUUUAUGAGGCAACUGAGACUACACCUGAUUUUCAUCAAGAAUGGCUGGGCAUUUAGGGGCUAGGCAUCUUGUACUUUAAAAGUAUAACACCAAAAUUCCAUUGCAUUCUUUUAUUUUAAAUGAAGCUUCAAAACUGUCAGCUGCAUUAGUCAAUCAAGGGCUAUAGAAUGCAAUUAUUUUGGAGUAGUGUUAAAGGCAAAAGUUUCAUUAAAAUGUGGCACUUUUUAUGGGAUAAUCUUAAGAAGCUCUUAAAAUACCGCUUUCACCAUGCUUCCACCUAGAAGAGAUCUGUUCUUAUGCUUAACCACUAUCACACUUUGUGCCCACCACUAAGUUGCACGUAUUGUUGGUUUUCUUCUUAUACCUAUGCCUCAUGUCACUGAUUAUAUCAUGAAUUUAAGAUCUAAAACAUAAGGUACCUAACAUGAAAGUUUGCUAUGUGUGUGUUUAAUAUUUGUUACUAUUUUGCCUCCAGAACAGAGGGCAACUCAGAAGUUAGAUGGUCAAAGGAGGUUAGAUCUUGUUGACACCUCAGACAUGUUUGGUCAGAUGUCCUUCAAACUUUUUAAAAUAUCUGAGCCUAUUCUUAGAAAUAAAUACAACUCAGAAGUGUGAUGUGUAAACUAU
RNAcentral lists this long non-coding RNA (1214 nucleotides) under Sus scrofa (pig). RNAcentral describes it as "lncRNA (ENSSSCG00070006073.1)". Lineage: Eukaryota; Metazoa; Chordata; Mammalia; Artiodactyla; Suidae. The record is from RNAcentral.